CCUACGGGGGGCAGCAGUGGGGAAUAUUGGACAAUGGGGGGAACCCCGAUCCAGCCAUGCCGCGUGUGUGAAGAAGGCCCUCGGGUUGUAAAGCACUUUCAGUGAGGAAGAACGCCUGGUGGUUAAUACCCAUCAGGAAAGACAUCACUCACAGAAGAAGCACCGGCUAACUCCGUGCCAGCAGCCGCGGUAAUACGGAGGGUGCGAGCGUUAAUCGGAAUUACUGGGCGUAAAGCGCGCGUAGGUGGCUUGAUAAGCCGGUUGUGAAAGCCCCGGGCUCAACCUGGGAACGGCAUCCGGAACUGUCAAGCUAGAGUGCAGGAGAGGAAGGUAGAAUUCCCGGUGUAGCGGUGAAAUGCGUAGAGAUCGGGAGGAAUACCAGUGGCGAAGGCGGCCUUCUGGACUGACACUGACACUGAGGUGCGAAAGCGUGGGUAGCAAACAGGAUUAGAUACCCGUGUAGUC
Molecule: ribosomal RNA, 465 nt
Filed under: Vreelandella stevensii
Lineage: Bacteria; Pseudomonadati; Pseudomonadota; Gammaproteobacteria; Oceanospirillales; Halomonadaceae
Description: partial 16S ribosomal RNA
Rfam family: Bacterial small subunit ribosomal RNA
Source: RNAcentral